Molecule: non-coding RNA, 28 nt
Filed under: Homo sapiens (human)
Lineage: Eukaryota; Metazoa; Chordata; Mammalia; Primates; Hominidae
Source: RNAcentral
UGCCAGAAUGGUUGAGUGCUGGUGAGGG